AAGCUUUCAUGUGCAUGCACAAUUCUUCAGAUACACAGAUCUGUGUAUCUAAAGAAGUGUGCAUGCACACAAAAGCUU
Non-coding RNA from Podarcis lilfordi (Lilford's wall lizard), 78 nucleotides. Lineage: Eukaryota; Metazoa; Chordata; Lepidosauria; Squamata; Lacertidae. The record is from the annotation of a GenBank genome assembly.